GGAAGAUUAGCUCAGUUGGGAGAGCACCUGCCUUACAAGCAGGGGGUCGGCGGUUCGAGCCCGUCAUCUUCCACCA
RNAcentral lists this transfer RNA (76 nucleotides) under Evansella sp. LMS18. RNAcentral's name for it is "tRNA-Val". It matches the Rfam family "tRNA". From Rfam's summary of the family: Transfer RNA (tRNA) molecules are approximately 80 nucleotides in length. The record is from RNAcentral. Lineage: Bacteria; Bacillati; Bacillota; Bacilli; Caryophanales; Bacillaceae.